This 497-nucleotide ribosomal RNA is filed under the name uncultured bacterium. RNAcentral describes it as "partial 16S ribosomal RNA". It matches the Rfam family "Bacterial small subunit ribosomal RNA", at positions 28 to 507 of the family's 1533-position model. The record is from RNAcentral.
GAUGAACGCUGGCGGCGUGCCUAAUACAUGCAAGUCGAGCGAACGGACGAGAAGCUUGCUUCUCUGAUGUUAGCGGCGGACGGGUGAGUAACACGUGGAUAACCUACCUAUAAGACUGGGAUAACUUCGGGAAACCGGAGCUAAUACCGGAUGAUAUUUUGAACCGCAUGGUUCAAAAGUGAAAGACGGUCUUGCUGUCACUUAUAGAUGGAUCCGCGCUGCAUUAGCUAGUUGGUAAGGUAACGGCUUACCAAGGCAACGAUGCAUAGCCGACCUGAGAGAGUGAUCGGCCACACUGGAACUGAGACACGGUCCAGACUCCUACGGGAGGCAGCAGUAGGGAAUCUUCCGCAAUGGGCGAAAGCCUGACGGAGCAACGCCGCGUGAGUGAUGAAGGUCUUCGGAUCGUAAAACUCUGUUAUUAGGGAAGAACAUAUGUGUAAGUAACUGUGCACAUCGUGACGGUACCUAAUCAGAAAGCCACGGCUAACUACGUG